CAGCCGCCGCGGGAAAACGAAGGGGGCUAGCGUUGCUCGGAAUUACUGGGCGUAAAGGGGGCGUAGGCGGACAUUUAAGUCAGGGGUGAAAUCCCAGAGCUCAACUCUGGAACUGCCUUUGAUACUGGGUGUCUUGAGUGUGAUAGAGGUAUGUGGAACUCCGAGUGUAGAGGUGAAAUUCGUAGAUAUUCGGAAGAACACCAGUGGCGAAGGCGACAUACUGGAUCAUUACUGACGCUGAGGCUCGAAAGCGUGGGGAGCAAACAGGAUUAGAUACCCCUGUAGUCCCUGUCUCUUAUAC
This 301-nucleotide ribosomal RNA is filed under the name uncultured bacterium. RNAcentral's name for it is "partial 16S ribosomal RNA". It matches the Rfam family "Bacterial small subunit ribosomal RNA", at positions 509 to 807 of the family's 1533-position model. The record is from RNAcentral.